This 495-nucleotide ribosomal RNA is filed under the name uncultured bacterium. RNAcentral describes it as "partial 16S ribosomal RNA". It matches the Rfam family "Bacterial small subunit ribosomal RNA", at positions 28 to 507 of the family's 1533-position model. The record is from RNAcentral.
GACGAACGCUGGCGGCGUGCCUAAUACAUGCAAGUAGAACGCUGAAGGAGGAGCUUGCUUCUCUGGAUGAGUUGCGAACGGGUGAGUAACGCGUAGGUAACCUGCCUGGUAGCGGGGGAUAACUAUUGGAAACGAUAGCUAAUACCGCAUAAGAGUAGAUGUUGCAUGACAUUUGCUUAAAAGGUGCAAUUGCAUCACUACCAGAUGGACCUGCGUUGUAUUAGCUAGUUGGUGAGGUAACGGCUCACCAAGGCGACGAUACAUGGCCGACCUGAGAGGGGGAUCGGCCACACUGGGACUGAGACACGGCCCAGACUCCUACGGGAGGCAGCAGUAGGGAAUCUUCGGCAAUGGACGGAAGUCUGACCGAGCAACGCCGCGUGAGUGAAGAAGGUUUUCGGAUCGUAAAGCUCUGUUGUAAGAGAAGAACGAGUGUGAGAGUGGAAAGUUCACACUGUGACGGUAUCUUACCAGAAAGGGACGGCUAACUACGUG